CGCAGUAUCGAGUGUCUGCCAUGAACAGCAAAGGCGAGAACUCAGCUUAUGCUUCUGUUGUCGUCAAAAGAUUCAAAGGAGAGUUUGAUGAAUCUCUGCCAUCUCCCAGACUGCAAAGCAGAAAGUUCGGCUUUCAAGGUAAUCGUGGUGACGGUUUUUAUGUAAUCUUCUUGUUGGUGUUUUAGUCUCUCCUGUUUACCCUGAUCAUCUGAAGUGCAUGAUCGCCUCUUCUCAUUGUUUUACUUCUCUAUCUUUGUUCAUUUCAUCUAGAUGAUGGC
Long non-coding RNA from Danio aesculapii, 278 nucleotides. RefSeq lists it as uncharacterized. The transcript has 3 exons. NCBI's taxonomy places the organism in Eukaryota, Metazoa, Chordata, Actinopteri, Cypriniformes, Danionidae. The record is from RefSeq and is a predicted model, not a curated record.